This 27-nucleotide small RNA is filed under the name Bombyx mori (domestic silkworm). Its description in RNAcentral is "ovarian small RNA-3187". Lineage: Eukaryota; Metazoa; Arthropoda; Insecta; Lepidoptera; Bombycidae. The record is from RNAcentral.
UCAACUGAUCAGCUUUGGGUGUGUGUA